Molecule: ribosomal RNA, 254 nt
Filed under: uncultured bacterium
Lineage: Bacteria
Description: partial 16S ribosomal RNA
Rfam family: Bacterial small subunit ribosomal RNA
Source: RNAcentral
UACGAAGGGUGCAAGCGUUACUCGGAAUUACUGGGCGUAAAGCGUGCGUAGGUGGUUCGUUAAGUCUGAUGUGAAAGCCCUGGGCUCAACCUGGGAAUGGCAUUGGAAACUGGCGACCUAGAGUGCGGUAGAGGGUAGUGGAAUUCCCGGUGUAGCAGUGAAAUGCGUAGAGAUCGGGAGGAACAUCUGUGGCGAAGGCGACUGCCUGGACCAGCACUGACACUGAGGCACGAAAGCGAUGGGAGCAAACAGGG